RNAcentral lists this ribosomal RNA (30 nucleotides) under Plasmodium vivax (malaria parasite P. vivax). RNAcentral describes it as "partial 18S ribosomal RNA". The record is from RNAcentral. Lineage: Eukaryota; Apicomplexa; Aconoidasida; Haemosporida; Plasmodiidae.
UAAGGACUUUCUUUGCUUCGGCUUGGAAGU